GAUGAACGCUAGCUACAGGCUUAACACAUGCAAGUCGAGGGGAAACGACAUCAGAAGCUUGCUUUUGCUGGGCGUCGACCCGCGCACGGGAGAGUAACGCGUAUCCAACCUGCCCACCACUUGAGGAUAACCUUGCGAAAGUAAGACUAAUACCCAAUGAUAUCUCUAGAAGUCAUCUGAAAGAGAUUAAAGUUCUAUCGGUGAUGGAUGGGGAUGCGUCUGAUUAGCUUGUUGGCGGGGUAACGGCCAACCAAGGCAACGAUCAGUAGGGGUGCUGAGAGGCAGGUACCCCACAUUGGAACUGCGAUACAGUCCAAUAUGGUACGGGAGGGAGCAGUGAGGAAUAUUGAUGAAGGGACGAGAGUCUGAAACAGCCAAGUAGCGUACAGGAAGACGGCCAUAGGGGUUGUAAGCUGCUUUUAUAAGGGAAUAGAGUGAGUCUCGUGAGACGUUUUGAAUGUACCUUAUGAAUAAGGCCCGGCUAAUUCCGUG
This 492-nucleotide ribosomal RNA is filed under the name uncultured bacterium. RNAcentral describes it as "partial 16S ribosomal RNA". It matches the Rfam family "Bacterial small subunit ribosomal RNA", at positions 28 to 507 of the family's 1533-position model. The record is from RNAcentral.